UACGUAGGGUGCAAGCGUUGUCCGGAUUUAUUGGGCGUAAAGAGCUCGUAGGCGGUUAGUCGCGUCGGAUGUGAAAUCCUAGAGCUUAACUCUGGGCCUGCAUUCGAUACGGGCUGACUCGAGUAUUGUAGGGGAGACUGGAACUCCUGGUGUAGCGGUGAAAUGCGCAGAUAUCAGGAAGAACACCGGUGGCGAAGGCGGGUCUCUGGGCAAUUACUGACGCUGAGGAGCGAAAGCGUGGGGAGCAAACAGG
RNAcentral lists this ribosomal RNA (253 nucleotides) under uncultured bacterium. RNAcentral's name for it is "partial 16S ribosomal RNA". It matches the Rfam family "Bacterial small subunit ribosomal RNA", at positions 524 to 776 of the family's 1533-position model. The record is from RNAcentral.